UGGUGGGAAGCUUUCCUGAGUGGAGUUAAAC
Molecule: non-coding RNA, 31 nt
Filed under: Homo sapiens (human)
Lineage: Eukaryota; Metazoa; Chordata; Mammalia; Primates; Hominidae
Source: RNAcentral